This 270-nucleotide ribosomal RNA is filed under the name uncultured bacterium. Its description in RNAcentral is "partial 16S ribosomal RNA". It matches the Rfam family "Bacterial small subunit ribosomal RNA", at positions 29 to 328 of the family's 1533-position model. The record is from RNAcentral.
AACGAACGCUGGCGGCAGGCUUAACACAUGCAAGUCGAACGAGACUUCGGUCUAGUGGCGCACGGGUGAGUAACGCGUGGGAACCUGUCCUAUGGUACGGAAUAACAUCGGGAAACUGGUGCUAAUACCGUAUAAGCCCCGAGGGGGAAAGAUUUAUCGCCAUAGGAGGGGCCCGCGUAGGAUUAGCUAGUUGGUGAGGUAACGGCUCACCAAGGCGACGAUCCUUAGCUGGUCUGAGAGGAUGAUCAGCCACACUGGGACUGAGACACG